GUUGAAACCUCUUUCGCAGGGACGAAGCGAGAGUGACGGUACCUGCAGAAGAAGGACCGGCCAACUACGUGCCAGCAGCCGCGGUAAUACGUAGGGUCCGAGCGUUGUCCGGAAUUAUUGGGCGUAAAGGGCUCGUAGGCGGUUUGUCGCGUCGGGAGUGAAAACUCAGGGCUCAACCCUGAGCGUGCUUCCGAUACGGGCAGACUAGAGGUAUUCAGGGGAGAACGGAAUUCCUGGUGUACCGGUGGAAUGCGCAGAUAUCAGGAGGAACACCGGUGGCGAAGGCGGUUCUCUGGGAAUUACCUGACGCUGAGGAGCGAAAGCCUGGGGAGCGAACAGGACUAGAUACCCUGGUAGUCCAUGCCGUAAACGUUGGGCGCUAGGGGUGGGGACCUUCCACGGUUUCCGUGCCGCAGCUAACGCAUUAAGCGCCCCGGCUGGGG
RNAcentral lists this ribosomal RNA (443 nucleotides) under bacterium. RNAcentral's name for it is "bacterial SSU rRNA". It matches the Rfam family "Bacterial small subunit ribosomal RNA", at positions 423 to 878 of the family's 1533-position model. The record is from RNAcentral.